RNAcentral lists this ribosomal RNA (325 nucleotides) under uncultured eukaryote. RNAcentral describes it as "partial 18S ribosomal RNA". It matches the Rfam family "Eukaryotic small subunit ribosomal RNA", at positions 1470 to 1796 of the family's 1831-position model. The record is from RNAcentral.
CCCUUAGAUGUUCUGGGCCGCACGCGCGCUACACUGAUGCAUUCAACGAGCCUAUCCUUGACCGACAGGUCCGGGUAAUCUUUGAAUCUGCAUCGUGACGGGGAUAGAUUAUUGCAAUUAUUAAUCUUCAACGAGGAAUGCCUAGUAGGCGCAAGUCAUCAGCUUGCGUCGAUUACGUCCCUGCCCUUUGUACACACCGCCCGUCGCUCCUACCGAUUGGGUGUGCUGGUGAAAUGUUCGGAUCGGCCGUUUGUCGCGGUUUCCGCGUCAUGUGGCUGAGAAGUUCAUUAAACGCGCCCACCUAGAGGAAGGAGAAGUCGUAACA